This 136-nucleotide ribosomal RNA is filed under the name uncultured bacterium. RNAcentral describes it as "partial 16S ribosomal RNA". It matches the Rfam family "Bacterial small subunit ribosomal RNA", at positions 355 to 507 of the family's 1533-position model. The record is from RNAcentral.
UGGGGAAUCUUGCACAAUGGAGGAAACUCUGAUGCAGCGAUGCCGCGUGAGUGAAGAAGGCCUUUGGGUUGUAAAGCUCUUUUGUAGGGGAAGAUAAUGACUGUACCCUAAGAAUAAGGUGCCGGCUAACUUCGUG